This 219-nucleotide unclassified non-coding RNA is filed under the name uncultured bacterium. RNAcentral describes it as "contains 16S-23S intergenic spacer region". It matches the Rfam family "Bacterial small subunit ribosomal RNA", at positions 977 to 1195 of the family's 1533-position model. The record is from RNAcentral.
AGGGCUUGACAUGCACGGGAAUGUCGUAGAAAUACGGCAGCCCUUCGGGGCUCGUGCACAGGUGGUGCAUGGCUGUCGUCAGCUCGUGUCGUGAGAUGUUGGGUUAAGUCCCGCAACGAGCGCAACCCUUGCCAUUAGUUGCUACAUUCAGUUGAGCACUCUAAUGGGACUGCCGGUGACAAACCGGAGGAAGGUGGGGAUGACGUCCCAAGGUUGGUU